Non-coding RNA from Pelobates cultripes (western spadefoot toad), 215 nucleotides. Lineage: Eukaryota; Metazoa; Chordata; Amphibia; Anura; Pelobatidae. The record is from the annotation of a GenBank genome assembly.
GUAUUUGACUCCAGGUCUUGGCCAUUGGGCCUAGGUCUUUCCAUGAGAUGUCAGGGGAUUUAGUGAGGGAUAUAUGUGGGACAGCUGUUUCCCAAUGGCGGUAGAGAUGUGUCACAUUCUCUGAGAGAUGGACUAAGAUGAGCAUGGUACCUGUGGAAUCCCAUAACAAGUCGGUCAGAGUAAUUUGAAUUUCCUUGAGUUGGAACAGUUCUUCC